This 426-nucleotide ribosomal RNA is filed under the name uncultured bacterium. RNAcentral describes it as "bacterial SSU rRNA". It matches the Rfam family "Bacterial small subunit ribosomal RNA", at positions 354 to 796 of the family's 1533-position model. The record is from RNAcentral.
GUGAGGAAUCUUGCGCAAUGGGGGAAACCCUGACGCAGCGACGCCGCGUGCGGGAGGAAGGCCUUCGGGUCGUAAACCGCUUUUCUGGGGGACGAGUAAGGACGGUACCCCAGGAAGAAGUCCCGGCUAACUACGUGCCAGCAGCCGCGGUAAAACGUAGGGGGCGAGCGUUAUCCGGAAUCACUGGGCGUAAAGGGCGUCUAGGCGGCUCGGCAAGUCCUGUGUGAAAUCUCCUGGCUCAACUGGGAGGGUGCAUGGGAAACUGUCGAGCUUGGGACUCGGAGGGGGGUGCGGAAUUCCCGGUGGAGCGGUGGAAUGCGUUGAGAUCGGGAGGAACACCUGAGGCGAAGGCGGCACCCUGGCCGAGAUCUGACGCUGAAGCGCGACAGCGUGGGGAGCGAACGGGAUUAGAAACCCGGGUAGUCC